AAUGAACGUUGGCGGCGUGGAUUAGGCAUGCAAGUCGAGCGUGUACCCGCAAGGGGAAAGCGGCAAACGGGGUAGGAACGCGUAGGUCACGUACCCCUCGGCCGGGGAUAGCCACGGGAAACUGUGGGUAAUACCCGAUGACGCCGAGAGGCCAAAGGUGUGAUUCCGCCGGGGGAGCGGCCUGCGUAGUAUUAGCUAGUUGGUGAGGUAACGGCUCACCAAGGCGAAGAUGCUUAGGGGGUNUGAGAGCAUGACCCCACCACUGGGACUGAGAUACUGCCCAGACACCUACGGGUGGCUGCAGUCGAGAAUCUUCGGCAAUGGGGGCAACCCUGACCGAGCGACGCCGCGUGUGGGAUGAAGGCCCUUGGGUUGUAAACCACUGUCAGAGGGGAUGAAACGAUCAUGGGUUCUCCCAUGGUCCUGACAUAGCCUCAGAGGAAGCACGGGCUAAGUUCGUGCCAGCCAGCCGCGGUAAUACGAACUGCGCAAACGUUAUUCGGAAUCACUGGGA
RNAcentral lists this ribosomal RNA (514 nucleotides) under uncultured bacterium. Its description in RNAcentral is "bacterial SSU rRNA". It matches the Rfam family "Bacterial small subunit ribosomal RNA", at positions 28 to 559 of the family's 1533-position model. The record is from RNAcentral.